RNAcentral lists this ribosomal RNA (497 nucleotides) under Cladosporium tenuissimum. Its description in RNAcentral is "eukaryotic LSU rRNA". The stretch from base 131 to 284 matches the Rfam family "5.8S ribosomal RNA". The record is from RNAcentral. Lineage: Eukaryota; Fungi; Ascomycota; Dothideomycetes; Cladosporiales; Cladosporiaceae.
AUGUUCAUAACCCUUUGUUGUCCGACUCUGUUGCCUCCGGGGCGACCCUGCCUUCGGGCGGGGGCUCCGGGUGGACACUUCAAACUCUUGCGUAACUUUGCAGUCUGAGUAAACUUAAUUAAUAAAUUAAAACUUUUAACAACGGAUCUCUUGGUUCUGGCAUCGAUGAAGAACGCAGCGAAAUGCGAUAAGUAAUGUGAAUUGCAGAAUUCAGUGAAUCAUCGAAUCUUUGAACGCACAUUGCGCCCCCUGGUAUUCCGGGGGGCAUGCCUGUUCGAGCGUCAUUUCACCACUCAAGCCUCGCUUGGUAUUGGGCAUCGCGGUCCGCCGCGUGCCUCAAAUCGACCGGCUGGGUCUUCUGUCCCCUAAGCGUUGUGGAAACUAUUCGCUAAAGGGUGUUCGGGAGGCUACGCCGUAAAACAACCCCAUUUCUAAGGUUGACCUCGGAUCAGGUAGGGAUACCCGCUGAACUUAAGCAUAUCAAUAAGCGGAGGAAA